CUUUUUGUUGUCUGGGCUUUCUGGGUCUAUCACCCCCAUAUCAGAAAGCCCUUACCCCAAAAAGCAU
This 67-nucleotide microRNA precursor is filed under the name Xenopus laevis (African clawed frog). RNAcentral's name for it is "Xla-Mir-129-P4_pre stem-loop". It matches the Rfam family "mir-129 microRNA precursor family", at positions 7 to 72 of the family's 75-position model. From Rfam's summary of the family: The mature sequence is excised from the 5' arm of the hairpin. Lineage: Eukaryota; Metazoa; Chordata; Amphibia; Anura; Pipidae. The record is from RNAcentral.